RNAcentral lists this small RNA (599 nucleotides) under Pongo abelii (Sumatran orangutan). RNAcentral's name for it is "processed transcript". Lineage: Eukaryota; Metazoa; Chordata; Mammalia; Primates; Hominidae. The record is from RNAcentral.
GUGUAUGUGAUUUUAAGGGUAGUCUUCAACAUCAAGAGAAGAGACCACCAAACAGGUUUUGUGAUAAGAAAAGUACUUCACCUUCAAAUUCAGACACAGAAAUGAAAUCUGAACAACUGCCUCCUUGUGUGAACCCUGGCAAUCCUGUGUUUUCAUGUAUGUUGGAUCCAAAGACACUCCAGACAGCCACCUCACUAUCAAAACCUCAAAUGAUUAUGUAUAAAACCAAUUCAAGUCAUUAUGGUGAAUUUCUACCUAUUCCAGAGUUUUUCCCCUGCAAUUAUACUCCAAAGGAGCAAGUAUUUUCAAGCCAUAUCAGAGCAACUGGAUUUUAUCAAAAUAACAGUCUAAAUACUGCACCUGACAGAACCAGAACUCUUGAUUUUCCUAAUAUUCAACACACUCUAUGAAAAUAUAUUCCUUUGUAUAUUGAAGAGAAAAUGUACUCGGGAAAAAUGAGUGUUAAAUCUAAGGGUAGAAUACCUAAUAAAGAAGAUUAAAAGUUUUGAAUCAAUUUUUAAAAUAAGUUAAAGUAUUUCAACUGAUAACUACAUGACAGUGAUUUUUAAAUGAAAAUAUGUUCAAAAUAGCAAAAUAAA